UCAUGCUAAGAAUCUCAGUCUCCGUUGAACUGGCAACACGCAUUAAUGAGAAACAUUAGAUUAUGAAUAAAAUCAUAAAUUUGUUAUGUUAAGGGCUAACUUUGUCCUGUAAACAUUGCCGCUAGUCCAAACAAACCUUGGUCCAAAUAGAAGUUGCUUAUGAAAUAGACAAGAAAAUGUUAUGGAUUUAUUACAUAUUAAAUAUUCUUGUACUUUACAUAUAGAACUUGAUUUUUUAGGCACUCUGGAUUUUCAUUAAUAGAAAUCAAGCAAAUCAGAGUUUAAGCUGUUGCUGUUGCUUGAGUUGAGCUAUGCUGCUAAAGACAUUUUUACAUGUGACGUGCUCUCCUACGUACUACCAACCAUUUGGUCACAUCAGUACUGUUUGACCACAUGCAAUGAAGGCACUGCAACUAAGAGAAUGGAAAUAUAUACACUGUGAUUGGUGUCACCAGAAAUGAUGGAAAGCUAGAGGUGGGUAACACAUGAAGGCAAUUUGUGCCCAUCUUUAUUUAAACUUUUUAAACUUCCCUUGGUAUUCAGAUUUUUCUUUCCGGAAAUUUUCUCAAAACAGUGGGAGAUCCCUGAGCAAUUAAUUGAAGCUUCUAAUAUUUUAAAAUUUCUAACACUGAACUCAGUUGGUGGCAUUAUUCAUGUAGUUAAAGUUAAGCUUGUGCUGCAGUACCUUGCUGAAAGAACCAAAUAGAUUUUUUUCCCUGCUCACUCAGCAAAGGACUUACAUCAGUGUUAACAAAAAGGCUUUCUGUAUGAACCGAUUAUUAGUCACGUUCUCUUGGUCUGUCAGAUUUACUUCCUCCUUGCCUGACACCACAUCUACUAAAUCUCCAUUCACCUGUAGAGUAAGGCAAGUAGAAAAAAAACGGACUUUUUUUUUUUUUUUUUUUGUGUGUGUGUGUGUGUGUGAAGUAUUACCAGAAAAUCUCAGUCUGGACUCAAAAUAAAAAAAAUGGUGGAUUAGUAGAGAUUAAGACUACAAAAAGUUAUUUUCUCGCACUGUUCAAUCACAUUCGGGGGCAGCCCUAAUUCUGCAUUUCCUUGUGUUUGCUAUUCUUUUAAAAGCUUCCAGUGAAAACGGAGAUUCGAUUCUCUUGACAGCAAAAUGUCCAUGACUGUAAAAGAAAGGCUAUUUUUCUAGGCUGUGAUGGAGAUAAACAUUGCACGGCCCUUCUUUUCCUCUUCCCUUCCUCAGGCUCUGUUUCAGCUCCUUACGCUGUGAUAAAUGGCAGUUAGAUCCAGGAUCCUGCUGUAUCGCAAGCACGGCUUCCUUAAGUAUAACAUCAUGCUCUCUGUACCAGCAUGCUGCUAGCGCCUAGUGUGGAGCGCAUACUUCCAUCCAGCCUGUGGACGGCCUCCUGAAAUGCAGUGAGGCUGUGGUUGUAGUCUGUCCUCUGCAUAAGUCAGAUCUGAAGAAUAAAAAUUGAUUCCUAUUUGGGUAAAGCACAGAGCCUCCAUCAUCACCAAACACAACUGCAAUGCUGAUACUUUCUGCUAAUAGCGAUAACUUUGGUCUAAUGCCGUAUUGUACACAACAUAGCGGGUAGCUAUGUUAAUGUGCCCACUUACAUGUGGACCUUUUCAACUCCAGCCCUUCAAAUUUUAUCACAUGGCUGCUGCUCCACAGAGAGAAGGCUCCUCUUCAGCUGACUGAAUGGCAGGUUUAUGGCUUUUAAAGGCUGUGUCCAAAACCCACUGAAGCAAACACAUUCAGAAAUUCUGUAUUCAGUGACUCCUUGCUCAGUACAUGAAACAAAGAGCUAGCUUCUGCACUCCCCCAGAUGCACAAAGUUUUUAAUUCUGGAGAUGCAGAGAGACCACAUCCCACAUUUUGUCCUGACACAGAGGCAAGACGUAGCCAAGGCAGAUAGCAAGACCCGGGAGCUAAGAGGUACUUGGGGUCAGGCUGCAUAAACACGGUCAGUAUUAAAUCUGUAUUAUUUGCUUAUGCCUCAGUGCCUCGGGUCUCUGAGAACCUUACUGUGCUAGGCACCAUACAAGUCCAGAACAAACUUACCCAGAUACAGACUUUGAAUAAGGCAAGCAUUGAAUCGUGACAGAUUUAGAACACAUCCGCUAAAGACAUCAUUAAAAAUAUUUUAAAAACCUGUUUUUUGGAGCAAUACCACCCCCACUCCCUUCAGAGGGGAGACCUUGUCAGGCACUAAAUAAAUGUUUACAGAAAAGUGUUUAUGACUCAACAUUAAAUAAUGAUUUAAGGUGGAAAUGUUGACAGAGCCUGAGUGCUAGUGAUACAUCUAAAAAUCUUGAUGCAUCUGGGAAUUUAUUUCCUUUUAUAGCCUAUGAUAAAAAAGAGAAUACCUCUAUGCAUGUUUUGAAGUAAAGGCACAAAACUUCACAGCAAGUGCCAACCAAAAUGACCUGCAAUCCCUGAAAACAGGGAUCUCUACUGGAAACAGGGACAAAAACUCUACUGUAGAUGUUUCAGCAGGAAAAACAAAACAAAAAAAACCCAUCUCUGUAUGUUGCAUAAAUACCUUUUUUCAUUCAUAACUCAUUGUUUCAGAAAUCAGGACCGUUAACUAGAACUGGCUUUUCAUUUCUCCAUUCCCCUUGUUUGUCAUUUUAUCUUAAAAUGUCUAUUUGCUUCAGAAAAGCCUUCUUAAUUUUGACCCACUGGUGGCCCAGCUAAGCACUGAGCUAAUAUUGACUAAUAUUUCAAAAUAAAUUGCUCCCUCUAGUGAGACCGCCGUAGUACUGAUGCCUGGCAGAUGGGGGGGGGCGGGCGGCCUGGGUGAGUUUCUACGUGCUGCUCCAGCAAGCCCUCAGCCCCUCGCUGGCUUGGUUCUUGCUCCAGACAAGCUUACGAGGAGCCUUCCCUGAGCAAGGAGCGCUCAAUAAGGCCUUCUGCAUUUAAGAUAAAAUUAUUUACAAAGGCUUAUGCCUCCUACAAUGUUAAAACCUUCCCUAAAAGAGCAGGCCAAUUAACCAGCAGACCUUUGGAGAACCACACGAGCUCGCUGAAUGCUAAAGUAUUUGCUGUGGAUGAGUUUCAUACAAACAACACUGCCAUCACCCUCUCCUUCUCUUCUUUCAGCUCUGGGCUGUUUAGAAAAAGAAAAUCCAGUUAUAAGUAGACCUGGCACCAAAUAUGAGCUGAGUUCUUCAGGACACCUCCCUACACCCAGUGGCUUUCAAAGUAAAAAAUAUUAACUUUGCAGAGUCCUCAAAAGACCCCUGAAGCAAAAAGACAUUACAAGGAAACAGUUAGCUCUCCUUUCGGUACCUGUCAAGAUGGCGCCACCAGAUGAGGCCUGCUGCCAUGAGUGGCAAGGCCAAAAUUCUGCCAUGCUCCCAGGGAGGGGCUUUUUUUUUUUUAAAGAGUAAAAAUCGAACUCUGUGCAGCACAACUGUAAUAAAGCAAGGAUUUGGAAAAGGCCACAGGCCCUCCCAGGACCACAUCAGGGAAAGGCCACCUGGUGGGAGAGGUAGGCCUGAGGGAUAUGAGAGGGCAGACACAUUAGAGUGUUGGCAGCCUCGUGCUUCAUGCUUGCUUUUCUGUCAGGGCAAACUCGAUGCCCCUCCUUUAGGAUGAGUUGUUCAGCACAACUCAUCUCCAAAAUCCCUCCUUGCUGUUGAGCAGAGUGAGGGGCCCUUCUCCUUCAGUGCCCUGAGGCACCAUGGCGAGGCCCUGCCAGCUGCCUGGCGCUGCUGGGAAUGGGUGAAUGAUGGUUGGGGGCUCUCCCCCCUGUGGGUCCUGGUCUCCCAGCCUCUCUCUUGCUCUUCACCUUCCCCUUUAUGACAGCACAAAGUCUCACACAGUUGCCAGGGCUGCAAACAUGGUGGUGAACGUGGGUCCCUUUUCUGACAGCAAAGCUCAGCUCACCUGAACGGCUCUUCAGAGGUCAAAGCAGACUCAUACUUGUGGGAGAACAGCCAUGGACAGUGAUGGUUGAGCUAUUCUUCUGUAAAUGACAUAAUGACUUAAAGGCAGAUGGUAAGGUUGCAUUCAUCUCCUAUGUAAGGAACUACAUCUAAAACAAUUUUAAAAAUAUUUCAAGAACUCUUCAAUAACUUGUGCAGAGCUGUUAACGUCAAAAAUAGGCAUGUUUAAACAAACAACACCCAGGAUAGGACGUGUGUCACCAGGACAUGUCUGUCAAACUACUUUGGCAACUUAAAUGCCUCUCUGGUCCCAUGUCCUGCACAUUGUUUCCGUGUUCACUUGGACAGCCCAGAAGAUUUGGCUGUGGGUAGCAGUCUGUCCAGCGUGCGGAGCAAUUGGAGCAGGAGGCACCAGCUCUGCUCGGGAAGCCGUAUCGGCUUGUUAGCAUAGCGUGCUCACAUGAACAACGUCCCUCAUCCUGGCCCUGACUUUUCUGGCCAGGCUACUCCGAUGCCAACUACGACAUGCUGUUUGGCUGCCUAACUGAUUUCCCUCUCCUGCAAUCUGAUCUUUGCCAUGGCUGACCUUCCCCUAGGUUGUGUUGUUCCAAUGCAAAUUGCGUGUUGUUGGCUCUGCUGGCUGUUCCGUGUUUGUAAUAAAGCAGUGACUGACUCAGUGUUCAUGAAAACCUGCCCUUGCUUGCAUCAGCCUUUCUCAAAUUGCGCAAUUGUGUGCUUCUGUUUUGUGGCUCGGGCGAUACCUGAGGGUGUAGUUUGCUCUGGUUCACCUCCCAGUUUGUGUUGGUUCACUUUCCUGCCUGGAGCUUGUCUUUCCUCCCUUGCAGUCUGGCUGGGAAGCUCGGCAGCCCGUGUGUGAAGCCAGCAGUCGUGUUAUUUUGGGGCACUCGCUAGGGGAGCACAUUUUUGUUUGUUUGUUUUUCUCCUGAACUAGGGAGGAGAGGAGUGAGCCUGUGCGGCUUGAAUGGAGCUUUGUUUUGGGCAGGGGAAAUGAAAAGCUGAAAUCUUGCCUAGCCUGACACAGAACUGUGCCCUUCCACAGGGCUCAGCCUUUUGGUUUGGGGUCCUUGAAGUGGUAAAGUACAAGAAGGGCUGCCUUUACCAGAGUGCCAGAGCAGAGGAACGCCCCUUACGUGCAGCGGUCGGAGACCUUGUGCGGGAGGUGGAAGACUUGGUGAAUUAUUGUUUCUGCUGGAGAGAAUUUCAAACCGCAUGCCUUCCCUUUCGGGCUGUUGCUCAAACCGCUGUACUCUACAGCUCUGAUCCUAUACGUUUGUAUUUGCUUAGGGCCUAUUAAUGCAGGUCUGAGCUUAUUAGCAGUCUGUUGAGGACAUCCAUCUUUACUUAAAGUAAUAAUAAAAUAUAGCAGUCUGGCAUUCCUGUGUUUUCAGAUACUCAUGUGAAGGACCAAACUAGAAAGCUACUCAUUUGCUUUUAGUCCUGACUAUUAUUUAAGUACCACGUGGGAAUUUGAAAGACCAGGCCUGGUAUAUUGU
This is a long non-coding RNA of Cygnus olor (mute swan), 5375 nucleotides long. RefSeq lists it as uncharacterized. The record is from RefSeq and is a predicted model, not a curated record. NCBI's taxonomy places the organism in Eukaryota, Metazoa, Chordata, Aves, Anseriformes, Anatidae. The transcript has 3 exons.